GACGAACGCUGGCGGCGUGCUUAAUGAAUGCGAGUCGCGCGAGAACCAGACUGGGGAAACCUUCGGGUGGAAUCAGUCUGGGGAGAGCGGCAAACGGGUGAGUAACACGUGGGUAACCUGCCCCUCAGACGGGGACAACCCGCCGAAAGGCGGACUAAUACCCGAUGGUGAUGUACGAGCUGCGGCUGGUACAUCUAAAGGCUCCGGCGCUGAGGGAGGGAUCCGCGGCCGAUUAGCUUGUUGGUGGGGUAAUGGCCUACCAAGGCGACGAUCGGUAGCCGGUUUGAGAGGAUGAUCGGCCACACUGGGACUGCGACAUGGUCCAGACUCCUACGGGAGUUAGCAUCAGGGAAUCUUGCGCAAUGGGCGAAAGCCUGACGCAGCGACGCCGCGUGGGUGAUGAAGGCCUGCGGGUCGUAAAGCCCUGUCGGGAGGGAAGAACUAGCACUUUUUAGUGCUCUGACUUACCUC
Molecule: ribosomal RNA, 471 nt
Filed under: uncultured bacterium
Lineage: Bacteria
Description: bacterial SSU rRNA
Rfam family: Bacterial small subunit ribosomal RNA
Source: RNAcentral